RNAcentral lists this ribosomal RNA (216 nucleotides) under Glomeromycotina sp. Its description in RNAcentral is "partial small subunit ribosomal RNA". The stretch from base 40 to 216 matches the Rfam family "Eukaryotic small subunit ribosomal RNA", at positions 686 to 864 of the family's 1831-position model. The record is from RNAcentral. Lineage: Eukaryota; Fungi; Glomeromycota.
GGGUCAGUAGGUCGGUCGUGCCACCGGUACGUACUGGCCUCACUGAUUCCUCCUUCCUGAAGAACCGUAAUGCCAUUAAUUUGGUGUUGCGGGGAAACAGGACUGUUACUUUGAAAAAAUUAGAGUGUUUAAAGCAAGCUAACGCUUGAAUACAUUAGCAUGGAAUAAUGAAAUAGGACGAUCGAUCCUAUUUUGUUGGUUUCUAGGAUUGACGUA